RNAcentral lists this ribosomal RNA (259 nucleotides) under uncultured Gammaproteobacteria bacterium. RNAcentral describes it as "partial 16S small subunit ribosomal RNA". It matches the Rfam family "Bacterial small subunit ribosomal RNA", at positions 1106 to 1373 of the family's 1533-position model. The record is from RNAcentral. Lineage: Bacteria; Pseudomonadati; Pseudomonadota; Gammaproteobacteria.
UGUCAUCAGUUGCUACGAAAGGCACUCUGAUGAGACUGCCGGUGACAAACCGGAGGAAGGUGGGGAUGACGUCAGGUCCUCAUGGCCUUAUGGGUAGGGCUACACACGUCAUACAAUGGCCGGUACAGAGGGCUGCCAACCNGCGAGGGGGAGCCAAUCCCAGAAAACCGGUCGUAGUCCGGAUCGUAGUCUGCAACUCGACUGCGUGAAGUCGGAAUCGCUAGUAAUCGCGGAUCAGAAUGUCGCAGUGAAUACGUUC